UGACAGGUGUGCAUGGUUGUCGUCAGCUCGUGUCGUGAGAUGUUGGGUUAAGUCCCGCAACGAGCGCAACCCUAUGUAGUUGCCAUCAUUCAGUUGGGCACUCUAGCGAGACUGCCGGUAAUAAACCGGAGGAAGGUGGGAUGACGUCAAAUCAUCAUGCCCCUUAUGACCUGGGCUACACACGUGCUACAAUGGCUGGUACAACGAGUUGCGAGUCGGUGACGGCGAGCUAAUCUCUUAAAGCCAAUCUCAGUUCGGAUUGUAGGCUGCAACUCGCCUACAUGAAGUCGGAAUCGCUAGUAAUCGCGGAUCAGCACGCCGCGGUGAAUACGUUCCCGGGCCUU
This 344-nucleotide ribosomal RNA is filed under the name uncultured Streptococcus sp. Its description in RNAcentral is "bacterial SSU rRNA". It matches the Rfam family "Bacterial small subunit ribosomal RNA", at positions 1032 to 1382 of the family's 1533-position model. Lineage: Bacteria; Bacillati; Bacillota; Bacilli; Lactobacillales; Streptococcaceae. The record is from RNAcentral.